UCGAACGGUAAGGUCUUCUUUCGGAAGAUACACGAAGUGGCGCACGGGUGCGUAACGCGUAUGCAACCUACCCAUUAGAGGGGGAUAGUCGCGGGAAACUGCGAAUAAUACCCCAUGAGUUCCUAAAGUCGCAUGGCUUAAGGAAGAAAACUCUGGUGCUGAUGGAUGGGCAUGCGUGACAUUAGCUAGUUGGUGAGGUAACGGCUCACCAAGGCGACGAUGUCUAGCUGGUCUGAGAGGAUGAUCAGCCACACGGGCACUGAGACACGGGCCCGACUCCUACGGGAGGCAGCAGUAAGGAAUAUUGGUCAAUGGGGGCAACCCUGAACCAGCCAUGCCGCGUGGAGGAAGACGGUUCUCUGAAUUGUAAACUUCUUUUAUGAGAGAAUAAUAUAGAGCUAUACGCUCUUAUGUAGGUACCUCAUGAAUAAGCACCGGCUAACUACGUGCCAGCAGCCGCGGUAACACGUAGGGUGCAAGCGUUGUCCGGAUUUAUUGGGUUUAAAGGGUGCGCAGGCGGCUUAUUAAGUUAGUGGUGAAAUCGUCUCGCUUAACGAGAUACCCGCCAUUGAUACUGGUAAGCUUGAGUGUGUCUGAGGAAGCUGGAAUGCGUAGUGUAGCGGUGAAAUGCAUAGAUAUUACGCAGAACACCAAUUGCGAAGGCAGGCUUCUAGGGCAUAACUGACGCUGAGGCACGAAAGCGUGGGGAGCGAACGGGAUUAGAUAC
RNAcentral lists this ribosomal RNA (727 nucleotides) under uncultured bacterium. RNAcentral's name for it is "bacterial SSU rRNA". It matches the Rfam family "Bacterial small subunit ribosomal RNA", at positions 62 to 785 of the family's 1533-position model. The record is from RNAcentral.